RNAcentral lists this ribosomal RNA (509 nucleotides) under Papiliotrema aurea. RNAcentral's name for it is "partial ribosomal RNA". The stretch from base 163 to 316 matches the Rfam family "5.8S ribosomal RNA". Lineage: Eukaryota; Fungi; Basidiomycota; Tremellomycetes; Tremellales; Rhynchogastremaceae. The record is from RNAcentral.
AGUGUUAAGAGUAACAAGGUUUCCGUAGGUGAACCUGCGGAAGGAUCAUUAUUGAUUGGUCGAAAGACCUUAUCAGAUUCUACCACCUCUGUGAACUGUUGGACCUCCGGGUCUACAAUCAAACAUCAGUGUAACGAACGUAAGAGUAUCUUAACGAAACAAAACUUUCAACAACGGAUCUCUUGGCUCUCGCAUCGAUGAAGAACGCAGCGAAAUGCGAUAAGUAAUGUGAAUUGCAGAAUUCAGUGAAUCAUCGAAUCUUUGAACGCACCUUGCGCCUUUUGGUAUUCCGAAAGGCAUGCCUGUUUGAGUGUCAUGAAAUCUCAAUCCUCCUAGGUUUUUGACCUGGUUGGGCUUGGACAUGGGCGUCUGCCAGCAAUGGCUCGCCUUAAAUGACUUAGUGGAACAUCCCACAUCAGUGUUAGACGUAAUAAGUUUCGUCUCUCCAUGUGCUGAUGACUGCUCAUAAUCUGCCAUUGCGCACUUUUGACUUUGACCUCUUGGGCAGU